GAUGAACGCUGGCGGCGUGCCUAACACAUGCAAGUCGAACGAAGGUAUAUAUAGGAAGUCUUCGGAUGGAAUAUGUAUAACUUAGUGGCGGACGGGUGAGUAACGCGUAAGUAAUCAACCUGUGACACACGGAUAACUGAUAGAAAUGUCAGCUAAUACGAGAUGAACUGUUUAAAUUGGGAAAUGGAAACAGCAAAGCGAAAGCGGUCACAGACGAGCUUGCGUCUGAUUAGCUAGUUGGUGGGGUAAGAGCCUACCAAGGCGACGAUCAGUAGCCGGCCUGAGAGGGUGAACGGCCACAUUGGAACUGAGACACGGUCCAAACUCCUACGGGAGGCAGCAGUGGGGGAUAUUGCACAAUGGGGGGAACCCUGAUGCAGCAACGCCGCGUGAGUGAAGAAGGCCCUAGGGUCGUAAAGCUCUGUCGUAUGGGAAGAAACAAAUGACUGUACCAUACAAGAAAGCCCCGGCUAACUACGUGCCAGCAGCCGCGGUAAUACGUAGGGGGCAAGCGUUAUCCGGAAUUACUGGGCGUAAAGGGUGCGUAGGCGGCUAGUUAAGUCGAGGUUAAAAGGCAGUAGCUCAACUACUGUUGGGCCUUGAAACUAAUUAGCUUGAGUAUAGGAGAGGAAAGUGGAAUUCCCGGUGUAGCGGUGAAAUGCGUAGAUAUCGGGAGGAAUACCGGUGGCGAAGGCGACUUUCUGGGCUAUAACUGACGCUGAGGCACGAAAGCGUGGGUAGCAAACAGG
This 749-nucleotide ribosomal RNA is filed under the name uncultured Peptostreptococcaceae bacterium. RNAcentral describes it as "bacterial SSU rRNA". It matches the Rfam family "Bacterial small subunit ribosomal RNA", at positions 28 to 776 of the family's 1533-position model. Lineage: Bacteria; Bacillati; Bacillota; Clostridia; Peptostreptococcales; Peptostreptococcaceae. The record is from RNAcentral.